GGUGAUAUACUUUAAUAAGAAGACCUAAUUUGCACUUAGGAAGUGAGCGAGCCUCUAUUGACCA
This 64-nucleotide transfer RNA is filed under the name Cerion uva. RNAcentral's name for it is "tRNA-Ala". Lineage: Eukaryota; Metazoa; Mollusca; Gastropoda; Stylommatophora; Cerionidae. The record is from RNAcentral.